GCAGGUAUGGGGACAUGGUGCCAAAGACAAUUGCUGGAAAGAUCUUUGGCUCCAUCUGCUCCCUGAGUGGCGUCCUGGUGAUCGCUCUGCCCGUCCCUGUCAUAGUCUCCAAC
Oreochromis niloticus (Nile tilapia) is the source of this 113-nucleotide non-coding RNA. NCBI's taxonomy places the organism in Eukaryota, Metazoa, Chordata, Actinopteri, Cichliformes, Cichlidae. The record is from Rfam.